Morone saxatilis (striped sea-bass) is the source of this 1337-nucleotide long non-coding RNA. RefSeq lists it as uncharacterized. The record is from RefSeq and is a predicted model, not a curated record. The transcript is spliced from 2 exons. Lineage: Eukaryota; Metazoa; Chordata; Actinopteri; Moronidae.
UUGCUGUCGUUACGCACGGCCUUAUUUAAGCGCACGGAGCGGUUUCAGUCAGAUGUGGGGGGCUAAAUCAGUCCUGAUCCCCCCCUGGAAGAUAAACACAGACAGACGGACGGACGGACAGACAAAGGAAGCCGGUAGAGAAAAAACUCCCAUCAUGCCUCAGCAGGAGCCCAUCUCGUCAGGCAGGUAGUUGCGGUCCUGCAAGCUCUCCGGGCUUGUAUUUGGGUAUUUCAGGAUUGUUUUUUGAUAAAAGCGUCCACCAGUGUUCUUCCUUCCUCACCUGUUGUCCUGAGCCACGCCCAACGGGUGGAAGCGCCCCGAGUCCAGCAGCAUCCUCCCGAGCCAGUGUAAGAGCCGUGAGUACCAGUGGAUCCCGUCACUGUGGCUCCCAGCGGAUCCGGUCCAGCUGUGAAUCAGCCGGAGUGGCGAGAAGGCCCAGUGAGCCAGGGAGUGCUGCUCCACCACCGCGUAGCAGGACGCCACCACCCCGUCCACCACCAGCGUCCCCUGCUGGGUCAGUGGCGCAAACGCCCCCCUGCUCUCCCUCACACUGACCUGGGUGAUCCGAGACAGACGCCCCUCGCUGUGCUUCUGUCCCGCUUCACCCUCCGACACCAGCACGCACUGUCCCGGCUGGGCCUCGCUGGCGUACACAGUCCUGAGGGCGCCACGGGCUGGCACCGCCCCCUCUGAGCAGUUCCCCUCAGACACAAAGACCAGGUGGGCGGCAGUGAGCGAAAGGCGGGCCCCAGCUUCUGUCUGCAAGGUGUAGAAGAGCUUCCAGGUCCCGGGGUCACGGUCCAAGAAGACCAGGACUUCACUGUAGACCAGUUCCCCGCUGCCGUCGGUGCCCACCGAGGCCAGGACUCGCUCACCAGGUCGCAGGUCACUGAUGGACUUCUGACCGCCGCCCUCCAACCUGACCGAGGCCUCGCCGGGAAAACAACCUCCAGAUUUAGCCGCCACUGAGUGGUCUGAAAGACAGACAGACAGACAGACAGGGAACAGGAUGUGAUUAUUCCUGAAAUACGGAAGUUCAUUCCUGCUACUUCCUUCAUGCUCAAAAGGAAAAAAAUAAAUAAAGUUGAACUAAAAACUAUGAGACAAAUGUCAUAAUGUUGAGGUAUUAAGUCAGACACUUAUUAUCGUUGAUUAACAUUUAAAUUAGUGCAUCUAUUUUUGUUAUGGCUAACAUUUGAACAUUUUUUGUCCUGGCAGGAUCGAGCUUCCAUACAAAAGAGCUUGAGCGCACAAUAAAUGUCUUCAACUCCCUUUAGCUAAAUAUUGACUUUUUUCCUAUCUACACUGAAAAUAAAAGAAAAAAUAACGAGAUAAAA